UGAAAAGUGUACAGAGUAGAGAAAAAGGG
Molecule: non-coding RNA, 29 nt
Filed under: Mus musculus (house mouse)
Lineage: Eukaryota; Metazoa; Chordata; Mammalia; Rodentia; Muridae
Source: RNAcentral